This 476-nucleotide ribosomal RNA is filed under the name uncultured soil bacterium. RNAcentral describes it as "bacterial SSU rRNA". It matches the Rfam family "Bacterial small subunit ribosomal RNA", at positions 26 to 518 of the family's 1533-position model. The record is from RNAcentral.
AGGACGAACGCUGGCGGCGUGCUUAACACAUGCAAGUCACGGGGGUCCCGCAAGGGAUAACCGGCGAACGGGUGCGUAACACGUGAACAACCUGCCCUCGUGUGGGGGAUAGCCGGGCUAACGCCCGGGUAAUACCGCAUACGUUCUCUUUGGGGAGUCCCGAGGAGAGGAAAGCUCCGGCGCACGGGGAGGGGUUCGCGGCCUAUCAGCUAGUUGGCGGGGUAAUGGCCCACCAAGGCGACGACGGGUAGCUGGUCUGAGAGGAUGGCCAGCCACAUUGGGACUGAGAGACGGCCCAGACUCCUACGGGAGGCAGCAGUGGGAAUCUUGCGCAAUGGUCUAACGACUGACGCAGCGACGCCGCGUGUGGGAGGACGCCUUUCGGGGUGUAACCACUGUUGCCCGGGACGACAGCCCUUUCGAGGGUCUGACGGUACCGGUGAGGAGCACCGGCUAACUCCGCGCCAGCGAGCCGC